CCUACGGGAGGCAGCAGUGAGGAAUAUUGGUCAAUGGGCGUAAGCCUGAACCAGCCAAGUCGCGUGAGGGACGACGGCCCUACGGGUUGUAAACCUCUUUUGCCGGGGGGCAAACGGCGGCACGCGUGCCGUCCUGAGGGUACCCGGAGAAAAAGCAUCGGCUAACUCCGUGCCAGCAGCCGCGGUAAUACGGAGGAUGCGAGCGUUAUCCGGAUUUAUUGGGUUUAAAGGGUGCGUAGGCGGGAUGCCAAGUCAGCGGUCAAAUACGGGGGCUCAACCUGUGGCCUGCAUUUGAAACUGUAGUUCUUGAGUACUGGAGAGGCAGACGGAAUUCCUAGUGUAGCGGUGAAAUGCGUAGAUAUUAGGAGGAACACCAGUGGCGAAGGCGGUCUGCUGGACAGCAACUGACGCUGAGGCGCGAAAGCGUGGGGAGCAAACAGGAUUAGAUACCCCAGUAGUC
This 460-nucleotide ribosomal RNA is filed under the name uncultured bacterium. RNAcentral describes it as "partial 16S ribosomal RNA". It matches the Rfam family "Bacterial small subunit ribosomal RNA", at positions 338 to 795 of the family's 1533-position model. The record is from RNAcentral.